This is a long non-coding RNA of Oxyura jamaicensis (ruddy duck), 893 nucleotides long. RefSeq lists it as uncharacterized. NCBI's taxonomy places the organism in Eukaryota, Metazoa, Chordata, Aves, Anseriformes, Anatidae. The transcript is spliced from 3 exons. The record is from RefSeq and is a predicted model, not a curated record.
GAUGGUUGCUGUUUGACAGGCUGACAGGCAAAGUAAAUAGGCAUGGAAAUAAAAUAUUCCUUUGUUUUGGUGGAUCAGGCCAAUGUCACCAGUUGUCAUGUGGGUAGACACUGCUUGAUAAUGCUUCUGGAUGUGUUAGGAUGGGGAGAGGAUAUUGUAUAUAAUCAUGCACUAGAAUCUUGCAUCAUUCUUUCCUGGGCACAGGAAAUCCUGUUGAAGAUUUGAUCAACAAAUUUGAGUGUACAGUUAAAUUGCACUGUUACUUUUACAUUUAAGGUGGUAAGUGGUGCCAUUAUAUAGCACUGUGAAAUUUUAAGGAGUUAGUCUGGAAAAAUCCCAUCUGGCAGAGAUGUGCUUGAUCCUGCAUAUCACUGGGAGUUUGGAGGACAGAUCAAUAGUAGGAUGAAAUGCUAGAUAAUUAUUGUGUGUCUAUGCUUAUAUCUAUUGUCUUGCCUCCACAGCGCAUGAAAGGAAUUUUGCAGAAACAGAAAAACAAACAAAAAAAUAUGAACACAAACUGCUUUAGUCAGCAAAGAUGCAAAUACUAAUAUAGCAUAUAAACUAGUAACCUAAGUGUUAUAAAUCUGUUUUAAUGACAACUUUCAUUAUUAUGAAAGGAGAAAUCCAAUAAAUCAAUAGGAAUUUUGAAAUUGCUGAAGUACUUUAGAUUAAAAUGGACUGUGCUAUGACAUUUGUGGAAACUCUUAGAAAAAAAGGUACCAUCUGGUUUUGUUCUCCCAGAAUCUGCAAAAGGCUGACUUUCUCACUUUUUUAUCCGUGAAACCAUCUUUUGAUUCAUCUGAGCCCAGAUUUCAGUUGUUGAAGCCUAUCUACAGGCAGGAGGCACCUCAGAGCCAAGCAAAGUACAGAGCCCCCAGCUCCUCACAUAGUUU